AGCGAACGCUGGCGGCAGGCCUAACACAUGCAAGUCGAACGAACUCUUCGGAGUUAGUGGCGGACGGGUGAGUAACACGUGGGAACGUGCCUUUUGGUUCGGAAUAACUCAGGGAAACUUGUGCUAAUACCGAAUGUGCCCUUCGGGGGAAAGAUUUAUCGCCAUUAGAGCGGCCCGCGUCUGAUUAGCUAGUUGGUGAGGUAACGGCUCACCAAGGCGACGAUCAGUAGCUGGUCUGAGAGGAUGACCAGCCACACUGGGACUGAGACACGGCCCAGGCUCCUACGGGAGGCAGCAGUGGGGAAUCUUGCGCAAUGGGCGAAAGCCUGACGCAGCCAUGCCGCGUGAAUGAUGAAGGUCUUAGGAUUGUGAAAUUCUUUAACCGGGGACGAUAAUGACGGUACCCGGAGAAGAAGCCCCGGCUAACUUCGUG
RNAcentral lists this ribosomal RNA (433 nucleotides) under uncultured bacterium. Its description in RNAcentral is "partial 16S ribosomal RNA". It matches the Rfam family "Bacterial small subunit ribosomal RNA", at positions 29 to 507 of the family's 1533-position model. The record is from RNAcentral.